AACGAACGCUGGCGGCAUGCCUAACACAUGCAAGUCGAACGAGACCUUCGGGUCUAGUGGCGCACGGGUGCGUAACGCGUGGGAACCUGCCCUUAGGUUCGGAAUAACUCCCCGAAAGAGGUGCUAAUACCGGAUAAUGUCUUCGGACCAAAGAUUUAUCGCCUUUGGAUGGGCCCGCGUUGGAUUAGCUAGUUGGUAGGGUAAAAGCCUACCAAGGCGACAAUCCAUAGCUGGUCUGAGAGGAUGAUCAGCCACACUGGGACUGAGACACGGCCCAGACUCCUACGGGAGGCAGCAGUGGGGAAUAUUGGACAAUGGGCGAAAGCCUGAUCCAGCAAUGCCGCGUGAGUGAUGAAGGCCUUAGGGUUGUAAAGCUCUUUUACCCGGGAUGAUAAUGACAGUACCGGGAGAAUAAGCUCCGGCUAACUCCGUG
RNAcentral lists this ribosomal RNA (433 nucleotides) under uncultured bacterium. RNAcentral describes it as "partial 16S ribosomal RNA". It matches the Rfam family "Bacterial small subunit ribosomal RNA", at positions 29 to 507 of the family's 1533-position model. The record is from RNAcentral.